This 64-nucleotide transfer RNA is filed under the name Mekongiella xizangensis. RNAcentral describes it as "tRNA-Gly". The record is from RNAcentral. Lineage: Eukaryota; Metazoa; Arthropoda; Insecta; Orthoptera; Pyrgomorphidae.
AUUUUUCUAGUAUAAUAAGUACACCUAACUUCCAAUUAGUAAGUUUGAAAUCUCAAGAAAAAUA